UCAAAGAUUCUAAGAUUAAAGUAGUCUAUUCAUAAUAUAUUCCCUGAAAUAUUUCUCUCUAUAGUCUAUUCAUUUAGAAAAUAGAAAUUCUUAGAUCUGUGACAUUACAGAAUAUCUGAUUUAGAAAAUAAUAUUGAUUUUGUCUACUGAAUGUAAUUUUAGUUUUAGUUCUAAAGCACUUUAUGUUUUCGCAGCUCCAAGAAGGUUUCUGUUUCGUAACACAUUGGGUCGGUUUCAGAGUGAGGAGGUAUUUUUCAGUUUAACAAUCAAGAUGCAUCCCUUACCUAUGUUGUUACGUACUGCUCCUCCCUAUUUGUGCUGCAUAACCUACUCUCUGUUUCUUGUAACUUGAGUUCAUUUUGGACAUUCUAUCUUGAGAUCUUAGGCAGUUGUGUGUUAAAAGUAGUAAUUUUUCCCUAGUGCAUAUUCUGUUGUUUGUUUCACCAUUUUACAUGAAUACUUGUGAAGGCUCGGUAUGCAAGUGCUGAGAAGAAUGUGAAGGACUUGAACCUUUCAGUAGAUUUACUGAAGAAGGAGAGCAUAAAAUUGCUUGAAAGGACAACUCUUGCUGAGAAGGAAAUGAAGUAUGGGCAUACCGAACUAACGUAUGUAUUAUCAGUUAAGCAAAGGACGUUUUGUUAUUUGUUUACAGCUGAAGCAUGCCUGAAUGUUCAAUUUCAAUAAUGUACAGGAUCACUGGAGCCCAACUUCAACGGCUGGCAAAAUCAUCAUACAAGGUUGAAGCCCAAGCUGCUGGUAUGCUAUCUUUUAUAUUUUAGAAAAUCACCAAAAAGCAACUUCUGAUAAAUAAUACCAUCAUAGAAAAAUAUUCAUAUUUUUCCCGUGCACAAGUCAUAUUUUAAACACUUAAAGAAAAUUUAACACAAUUUGCUCUCUUGUCUUUUUUUAAUUAUUGUUCUUUUUCUUCUUCUUUAAAAUAGGAUUUCCUUCUAUACUUCUCCCUUGAAUGAAUGGUCAUUUUGGUCCGUGAAAAAAAUUGAUCGACGUUUAAAUUGUCCAAAUCUGACGUCAGGAUUAACUUGAUUACACAUUCAAAAACUUGUUAACGUAUUUUCUUCUUUCAGAGACUAAGUUGAUUAUUCACUCUUCUCCCUUUCAUAUUUGUUUGGGAAUGUGUAAUGAUAUCUAUGGAUGUCGUUUUGGAAUUUACUUCGUCUUAUCAUGCUGUAGAUUUAAUAGACAGGCUGCGGCAUAUACCUAGUCGUGAAGCACUGACACUUCGAGCUGAGGCAAGGCUAUGACUUUAUCUGUUUUUCUGUGUUUCCCAUAAGUCCAGUUAUGUUACAUUACUUACUGUUUGUUUGCUUUGUCUCCACUACAAACACGUGAUCAGGUUGCCUCUUUGGCUUCAACAUUGAAGCGGCAGAGAUCUGCGAUGGAUAAACGGAUAAUGAAGAUCUCCGAGUUAGGGAUUGCUGUGUGAAGUUUUGGACCUUCUCAAUAUGCACACCCAUCUUAGUCAUACUCAUUUUCUUGAAUAAAUGUUGGGGCAUCCGCAUACAACUAUAUACUUGUAAUGCAGACCCAUCUACUGGGCGGAUUUUUUUUUUCUUUAGUAAAUUCAGUGAAUAGGUGUAACUGGAAAAUGUUUUUUUUUUUUUUUUUUUUACUUUAGUAAAUUCAGCAAAUGAGUACACGAUAAAAUGCCACACUUACAUGAGAAUACACAUCAUUAAUAUGGCAAAUAUGCCAAUAAAAUACAUAUAUGAUGCAUCACAAGACUUACCUAAUGUUUAACUCAACAAAGACGAAACCAGGAUUUAUUUUUUCUCCUGGAACGUAAAUAUGAAUGUCAUUUAGGUAAGUAUAUGGGGCCUAUUUAUCAAUCUAGAUCUCCUUUAAACUCCUACAAGUACGUCCUAGACCAUUGUGCGAUAUUCAAGUAAGUAGGUAUACUUUUAAGUUAAUAUAUGUUUUUUGGAAUGUUUCUUGCUACCACCUCACAUCUAUCAUGUCACCUUUAAAUUUAAAAAAUCUGAAAAUACUCUUAAAUAUUAAAUAUGAUAGAGUUAUAUAUGUAUUUAAAUUUAUAAUUCUUGGAGUUGAAAUUUGGGUUCUCAUUCAAUAAUAGACUUAGCUUAUUUCCUCUGUAACCAAAAAAAAAAAAAGACUUAGCUUGCUUACUACACUAACACUUUAUUGAUUAUUCACACAACUCCUCUAAUCCAUGAUGCCUAUAAAAAAAAAAAACACAACUCCUCUAACUUGCACUAAAAACCCACAUUCAUUCAUGCUAUCUUUAAAUUUGAAAAUCCAAAAAUACCCUUACAAAAAUUUCUGCUCACACUUUUAAAAUGCGUUAUGUACGUACUUUGAAAGUUAUGCAUGCACUUUAAAGUGCAUUAUGUACGAACUUUAAAAUGUGAGCACACCGGUUAAUGUUAAGUUUGUAACUCUUGCAACUUGUGUAACUCUCAAUUUCUUAUAAACACAUGUUAAACAUUAUUUUUACUGUUAAUUUCUAUGCUUCAUCAGAUGCCAUAUAUAGGGGUUCAUGUGUCUCUCUUUCUCACACAAUUCUAUUAUGCUUUUCUACUAUGCUUUCUUUUAGUUUCUUCUUCCUUGGGUACAAUGUAUGAGGCUGGGUUCCUUGUAUUUCAUUCUCAACAUUAGCACGUAUGUCAUGUCUGAUGUUGGAUAUUCCGAUUCAGAUAUGCAAACGUGCUAUUGUAGGUGUUCAAUAUCCUUUUUCAGAUAUGACAAACGUUUGAGUAACGUGCGACUCAGCCCAUAAAUGUGAAAGUAGGGGUGCAACCCAAUGAAGAAAAUGAGUAAGUAAUUAAAAGUUGUAUGUGAAUAUUUUAUGUGGUUGUUAGAGUAUUUUCCAUAUCUUCUAUAUGGUUAUGGUGAAAUGUCAUAGUCAUAAUUUUUUUUACUAUUGAGUUUUCCCACUAUGCUUUGGAGUCUGCGUUCAAACUGAGUAGUCCGAUAACGAUCACAAUGUGGAUCUGGACACUUUUAAAGAGUCAAUGUAUCUAUACCUUUUCAAGGGUUUUGUUUUGUAUAUAAUGAUAUUUGAUACAAUUUUGAAGUGAUGUAAAUAAUUGAAAUAUAAGAAUUUAUUUGUAAGAUUUUAUUUUGCAUAGUUUUUAUGAUGGAUUAAUCUCAAAUUGGUCCAUAUCUUUGUCUCGCCGUCUGACCUAGGUCCCUCAACGGAAAAAUUAUUGAAAAAGUUCAUCUUCUUUGUAAAUCGUUUGAAGCAAGUCCUCGUCGGAGCGAUAAUUUAGCAUGCUAAUUGUGUUAGUGAAACUUACAUAAAUUUAAAAAAAAUAAAAUAAAAUUACACAUCAUAAAUUAAAUUAAAUUAACAAAAUUAAAUUACAUUAAGAACCCAUAUUAACCCCAAUUCUAAAUCCCUAAAUACACCAACACUUUAUUGAUACUUACUCACACAACUCCUAUAACUUGCACUAAAAAUAAGAGAAGAGUGUAAUAAAAUCAGAAGUAACCUCAUUAUAGUUCAUUUCACUUGUACGGGUACACUAUUUAAUGUCGACGCUGAAGUUAACCUCCAGGUAUAAGUCAUUCCAAACUUGCACAUACAUACAGUAAUUAAGUAAUUACCACCACCAAUACAAUCCCCGCAGCUCAAAACAAAUUGACUUUGUAGCGGUGAAAAUAAAGAUCACAUCAAAUGGAUCUGCGAACAAUAGCCUCGCCUUAUGUGCUCACAUCGGGAAUUACGUCAUCGUACUCCUUCUACUACUACUAGCUCCAGUCAUUCAUUCACACAUUCACUCAUUCAUUCAUUCCACUCCCGAUUCCGAUUCCGAACGAAACCCUUGGAUUCGGCGAUGCCGCUUUAUUGUUAACAAUCAGAUCUAGAUAACUUCAUUGAGUAGCGGCGCGGCGGAGAUGGAGGGGAAUUCCGGCGGUGGUGGUGGUGGCGGAAGCGGCGGUGGAGGUUCUGAUGUGGAGCUUCUGUGCAAGACGUUGCAGGUGGAGCACAAGCUGUUCUACUUCGAUCUGAAGGAGAAUCCUCGCGGUCGCUACCUCAAGAUUUCGGAGAAGACUUCUGCUACGAGGUCCACCAUCAUCGUUCCGUUCUCCGGCAUUUCCUGGUUUCUCGAUCUCUUCAAUUACUAUGUUAACUCUGACGAUCAAGACCUCUUCAGUAAGGAACUGCAGCUUGACACCAAGGUAACUCAACCCACCCUCACUCUUCAAUUCAGCUCCAAAGAUUUCAAUCUCACCACAUUGAUUGUAGUGUUUUUAUCAAAUUGAUUUGUUAGAGAUGCAUAAUUGUUGCCAAAUUUAGAGUAAACAAUCAAUUUUCAUUUGCAGGACUCAGGUAGUAAGUAGUAUACAAAAGUAUGAAUUUGGUAACAAUUUCGCUUAAUUGCACCUCCGAUUGCUCGUUCGCGAUUCGCUUUAAGUGGGGACCAAAAGUGCAAUUAAGCCUAACGAUUUUGUAUCUUUGACCGACUAAUUUGAUGAAAAGCAUUCAUUUGAUGGAGGCCAAACUGACAGAUUUUUCCUUUUGUUUUUCAGGUUUUUUACUUCGACAUUGGGGAGAAUAGGAGGGGCCGCUUCUUAAAGGUACUUGUUACUUGAAUUAGGUUUAAUAUGCUUUUUAUGUUUGUUGGUUUGAUGACUAUUGUUCUUGACUUUAUUUUUUCCACAUAGACAUGUCAGAGUUUUGCAGUGGUAUGUUUCUGUAUUGCUGCAGAGGGAAGGUCAAAACAUCUAGGAUUUGUAGAGUUUACAAUUGGUGGUUUUAGGCUUUUAGCAUGCAUGUUUUUUCAUGAGCUAUAAGGAAAUUUAGUUAAUGGCAUUGAAGGUGUUGUGAUCAACCAAACCCUGGUAUGAAAAGGUGGAAAAUGAAUAGCAGGUUUUACCAUUUCAACUUGUUUAUCAGUUGGAAAGAGCCUGAUAUAUAUAACAGGUUAGGGAUAUUAAUAACCUUAGGAUUUGAAUGAAGAUUUUCUUUUUCUUUUUUAAAUCAAAACUAGGAAUGUGAAACAAAAAUGUAAAUGUGUGGUAAUUGAUUGGGCUGCUGCUUGUUAGACAUUCCUAAAUAGUUGCUUGAAUGCAUAAUACUACUUUAAGCUCUUGGAAUUACACACUCUUCCUGGUCAAUGGUUUAUAUGCAAGCAUUUUGCUCUGCAGAUUUUUUUGUAGAAUUAUUUUGGUAAUGGUGGAAACAAAGUGCUUGCAUAUAAACAUUGUGGAUUUGUAUGGCUUGAACUCUGAAAGUAAAGGCCUGAUUACAAUGAGAAAAAGAGAACCUUAUGGAAGUGAGCUUUAUCUGUAAAAAUCAUGCCUUGGCAGAUUUCUGAUUUAUCUUAGCAUUGACUUCUGAAGCUUAGUUUUUAGAUGUUUGACUGAAUCUCUUAAGGUUGCAAAAAGCUGUAUCUUGUUUUGCAUCUAUUUGGGCUUACCUAAUUUUAUUGUGGAAUUUCUAUCUUAGGAUGAAUAUUUUAUGUAUGUUUUUUUUGUGUGUCAAGAUUAUGAUUCUAAUUUAUUUUUGAAGGUGUCGGAGGCUUCUGUAAGCAGAAACCGUAGCACUAUAAUUGUUCCUGCAGGAAGCUCCAGGGACGAAGGGUGGGCUGCAUUCAGAAACAUUUUGGCAGAGAUUAAUGAGGCAUCAAGGCUUUUCAUUAUGCCCAAUCAGGUUUCCUUAAUUUGCAUGUAGACAUUUUUUGUAGUUCCAAUUUAUCUUCUAGGAUCUGUUUAAUGUCAUCUAAUUGUUUGUAUUGCACAGCAGCAAAAUUCUGAAUCCUCAGAGCGUCUUGUCGGACUUUCGGAUGAUGUUGGUGCUGGCUUCAUAUCUGGUCAUAGUACACAACCUGCAACCUCUUCUGAAUUGAAUGUGGACAGGUCUGUUGAUUUACCAGCUCAGGAUGAAAUUGGAAACUUGGGGGUCUCAAAAGUUAUCAGGGCUGAUCAAAAAAGAUUCUUCUUUGAUCUUGGGAGCAAUAACAGGGGUCAUUUCUUAAGAAUAUCUGAGGUUUGUUGCCAUUGUCUUAUUGUCCUUUACCCUUUAUUAUGUUUUAGUGUUCGAAUAUGACUUUCUGCUUUAAAUUCUUGUUAUUUCAUUGCAGGUUGCAGGUUCUGAUCGUUCCUCCAUCAUCCUUCCUCUGUCAGGGCUCAAGCAGUUUCAUGAGAUCGUUGGUCACUUUGUUGAAAUCACCAAGGACCGAAUCGAGGGAAUGGCAGUUGCAAAUGUCCGCACAGUUGAUCCCCCUCAAAGAUGAGUGCUAACAUAUGGGGUUUUCUGUGACAACAAGUAGUCACUCUCGGCCAAGGUUUCGUUAGGGAAUGGGUGUUAUCGCUGUAUCUGAUUGUGCUAUUUUUAUUUUUAUUUUUCCUCAGCCUUCUCCUUCUCAUGUCAUCUUCAAUUAAUGCUUUUGAAAUAAUCCAAACACUGGUUGGUUGGUUAGCAGAAUAAAUGGAAUAUCUUGGCAAGGUCAAUAUGAAUAGGAAAUAACAAAAGAGAAAUGAACCAGAGACUUGUAUUUGUUUGGAUAGUUUGGCACCCGGUCUAUAUGUUGUAAUAAUGAUUGUUUAAUUAUUUUGCUUUGCUGCACAGUUUUCACAUGGAUUUAAAGUUCUCAUACAGGCUGAGGUAUCAACCACCAUGCGUACCAUAUUUUUAGGUUCGAUGAUUGGCUUCCUCCUUGCUUAAACUUAGCUUUCAUAGUUUUACCAUCAUUUAUCUGUUUUUUUUUGUCAAUUCAUUUAUCUGUUUCUUGUGUAUCUAAACUUGGGCCAAAACUAUUUGGACCAUCCUCAUUUACUAUCCACACCAUCCUUUUGAGCAAAAAUACAAUUAUACCCCCAGACUUAAAAAAAACUGAAUCAAUCAAACAGGAAAAGAAAACUUCUCCCCACACCAUCUCCCUCUCUCACGGUUUCUCUCUUUCUCUCGGCCCUUUCAUUCUCAACUUUCCCAAAUGAAAAAAAAAAAAAAACCGUAGCCACCACCCUGAUCUUUGUUGGAGAAGGAAGGAAGGAGGAAGAAGGAUCUUGAAGAAGUUGGAGAAGGAAGCAAGAAGAAGAAGCAAAGGAACAAGAAAGAGGAAGAAGAGGAAGAAGGAGAAGUCAAACAUCAUCUUGACAAAAUCGCUUGGUUUCCCGAUCUGUUUCAAUACACAAUUUAAAUUGCGGUAGCUUUAUGCUUACGGCAAUUUAAAUUGGGGUAGUACUAUGUUCCUCUGUUUUUCUGUUCCUUGAUAUCCUUUGGGUUUUUGAAUCGCAAAAUCGGGUUGUGUUCGUGAGCCUUGGACAGAACAUAAGAGAAAUCGAUUUCUAAAACCUUCUGUUAAAUUCAAAACCUGCCUGCUAUGUUCCACUGUUGGAUCCGCAAUUAAAAUUGCGAUAGCUUUAUCCUUUCCGUCAUUUUAAUUGCAGUAGUGCUAUGUUUCUGAUUGUUUGAUCUGCAAUUAAAAUUGAGUAAACUACCGCAAUUUAAAUUGAGUAAACUACCACAAUUAAAAUUGAGUGAACUACCGCAAUUUUAAUUGAGUAAACUACCGCAAUUUAAAUUGCGGUACCUAUAAAAUGUCCGCAGUUUAAAUUGCGGUACGAACCAGAACCCAGAUUUUCACGAAAAACGGUAAAAUUUCAAAAAUGACACCUUUUUUGAGCUUCUAUUCUUCUCUUUAUCUCACCCUUUGACGUUUACACUGACUUGAAGCUUCAAAUACCUCUAAAGUGUGUGAUAUGUUGAUUUAGAAUAUGAAAUAGGGAUAUGGGGAAGGUGAGAGUGGAAGAGGAAGAAGGAAGAAGGAAGAAGGAAGAAGGAAGAAGGAAGAAGAAAUGGGGUUGGGAGAGUAUUUUUUUCCCUGCUUUUAAUGUUUUAUACGUUGGGGGUGCUUUUAGGAUUAAAAAAAUAAGGGAUGGUGUGGAUAGUAAUUGGGGAUGGUCCAGAACCCAGAUUUAUAAGUCACUUUUAUCUAAUUAUCUAGAAUUAAGAAAAGUAGUUGCUAGCAAUAAAUUAGUAAAAAAAUUUAUCAACUUUCCUAGAUUGCCCCAUAAAUUUCUCUCUCCAAAUUUAUUUUCUUCAAAGUCACACCAUCUCUUUCAUACUCCCUCUGUUCCUAUUUAUCUGUCCAGGUAGAGAAGGUUCACACAAAUUAAGGAAAGCAAUUAAUUGUGUUGAUUUUCAUAAAAGUAUUAUUUGUUUUCCUAUAUCACCCUUUAGAAUGUAUUUUAUCUUUCUUCAUUUAUUGUUUCUGUAAGGGCAUUUAUUGGAAAAACAUCAAUUAAUGCUCUCUUGAAACUCUAAGUGGACAGAUAUAUAGGAACGCAAUUUUUUCUUCAAAGUGGACAGUUAAUAAGGAACGGAGGGAGUAAUAAAUAUGAGGGUAAUUUUGGAAAAGGGAAUUAAAUGAUGCAUUGGUCUUAUAAAGUGACUUAUAUUUUAGGAUAAAAAAAACUCUAAAAAUGUGACUUAUAAAUGAGGACGGAGGGAGUAACUCAUUUCUCUAUCUUCUCUUCAUAUUUAUCAAAGGUGGAAGUGGAAAAGAAUUGUAAACACAACAUCAUUCAAUUAGUGGAGAGGACGAGUUGAGGAGUUUUGAUUUUGUGUGUGUGUGUGCAGUGAGCGUAAUCGAUAGAAGCAGGUAAAAAUAAUGGUCCAAAUUUCGACUUUUUUCAGGAGUCCAUAUUAGAUAAACCCCUAAAAUAAAUUAAGGUAAAAUAUGGAUUACACAUAAUGUUUCACUAAUUUUCAUAUUCAUUUUAGGUGUCUAAAGUCUCUGCAAAUGUGAGGAAAGUCCUUUAAGUGGAGCUUCCGGGUGCACAAUUGCCUUGGUGUCGUCGUGCUUAGGUAGUUUAUCUCGACCUUGCGUAAGACUGCACCACCACUUUUCUAGUUUAUAUGAGGUGGUCCGUGACUGAACCAGGUUACGUUGGCCGCUUUUAUGGUGCUUGCUUAAGAGCAAGCCCUGGUGGGCCGACCCAAUGUCGUCAACUAUUAUUUUGAUUUUUGUUUUCAUUGGCGCCGUCUUUCUAGACAUUCGUGCCGACCAUACUGUUUUCUACAUUCAUAUACUUCGUUGAGGGCCUACGAAACUCAUAUAUGUCUUGCGGUGACGUCUUGGCUGGUGAAGUAUGGAAAUACGUUCUCACUCUUAUUGCUUCAUAUAUCAGAUGAAGCUUCACCUUCAGGUCCAAACUUGUAAUGAGUGUCGCUUCUAUGUAGAAUUUCCUUAGGAAGUCUUGCAACGACUCCUUAUUUCCUUGCUUUAGUUUUUCUAAGGUAUGUGAGAUUUUAGGUAGACCUUUGCUUGUAAUGAAGUGGUGAGCGAAUUGUUGAUAAAAAAAUUUCCAACUUCUUAUUGUCUCAGUUUGGAUGAAGAGACUAGUACAAUAAGAAGAAAGUUGCGCCGUGAAUCACCCACUGCAUUGAAAGUAAAAAGUUUGACAGAUUUUCGGUGUAAUUCACUGUCGGGUUUGCUUCCCAAUAUUAACACAGCUUGUUUACACGGAUUUUUGGUAAACAAAUAUCCUCUUAGUUCGACUAAAGGAAGUUUAGAUUCGGGGUCCUUUUGAGAAAACGCUUUGCCAAAGUGUAGUGUGUGAACGAGUGUAUUCUCGACAAUAAUAAACAACUCAAACGAAACUGGACUUUAUUGAGUAUGAGUCGAUUACAAAACAGUCAAGCAAACUUAAAAUAGCAUGAAAGCAAAUUUCGACAAAACAAGUUACACAUAAGAACUGGGAAUUAACAAACUGAAAUACAAGGAAAUUAAAGCGUUGGUUCUGCAAUAUACUCCUCCAUCAUCACGUUCUGCUCUCGAAGUCUCAUUGAUGCGGACGUUUGGAGCUUUUGGUGAAUUUUCAGAGUUUUUAGUUGGGAACCCUUUCUUCUGCUGCUGCUUCCUCUAUUUAUACUGUUCUUUCUGCCCAUGUUCUUGGCGGUUUUACUUGGAUGCACGAUGGCUUCGUGGGUUUUGAAUUUUGGCGCCAUACCCCACGUUUAGCCGAUGGUCUUCGCGCACGUGACUCUAUUGCCACGUGGAUGGUUCUGAGUCGCGGGCAACCGUUGCUAUUCGUGGCAUCGUGGGUGUACGCACGUGCUUGUAAUCGCUUGUUAUUCGGUAACUGCCCCUUCCAUUAAGAUGAUCGAGAUUUCUUCAUCUUCUGAGUGUGUCGAGUUAUGGCUUUUACUAACUUGUCUUUGAGGGACAUCGUGUGCUGAGUUGCCGGCUUCGCCCAACCCCUUCUGUCGAGAAACCACUUUUUGCACCAUGGUGUCGAUAAUUGUAAUGCUUGUAAUUUUGGCUUAACAGUUGCCCCCGAAAAAUGUUGGUUGUCGACUGCUUUAGCUCAAAGACACCAAGCAUUUUUUCUUAUCGCAGCCGUUCGAUUCCAACGAUUCAAAUGCUUUGUGCUCUCGACCCUUUGAUCUUCAAGUCCAAUCGGCAGCCAUAACGUCUGAUGACUUCUCCACUAGCUGACAGUUAUAGCCUUUUUAGGGCCAUGAUUUCACCUAUGCCAAAAAGCUGAGAGGUGACAUGAAUUAACUAAUAAAAUAAUCGCUUGGAACCCAAAAUUUUUAUAAAUUGCUGCUCAAUGCGGCUUGGGUUCCGUUUUCCCUUCCGUUUAUAAAUACCCUCUUGGUAUUCCUUGUUCAAGCUUUACUCUUUCAUCCAACCUGCAACUUCUUCUUCCAGACUUCAUCACUUCAUCUUCUUCCGUCUUCUCUGAAAUACUUGCUGCGUCUUUCAAUGGCUUCCAAUCCUGAGCAAACCAUUCCGUUGGCCACCGAGCUUAAGCUGGAUGAGUCCAAGCGCGUGCCAAUCCCAGAACCUCCCAACGAAGCAAAGAAGAGAGCUAUCUGGAAAUCCCAGGUACUCAUUCCUUUCUCUGUUAAUGGUACUUUACGCGCCAUUUUGGGCCCUUUGAAAGUAGUGAAGCAUGAUAGGCCCAAUAGUCUCCCUGAAGAACAUGAAUCAUUUCACCCUAGCGUUAGGGGAGAGGAGCUCAUUUUGGCAUUUCAACCCUCUUACCGUAUGCCAUUUCUUUCUGACCCAAAACGAGCCUUUCGUUCAGCCCCUCCUAACCCUUCUGCUAACGACAAGGCCUACCUGAAAUGGUUAGAUAGAGUUGAGGGAGAUAAGAGACAACACUGGAAGGAUGUAGGGAUUUUCGACUUGAUUCAGUUGUCGAGAUCUCCAAUCUCGUAUAACCCUGCUAUGCUGUUGAGUGCACUUUAUUUCUGGGAGAGGUCCACUAAUUGCCUUCAUGUUCCCUUUGGUAUGAUCACCCCCACCCUCUUGGAUGUUGCUGCUAUCACCGGAUUGUGGCCCAUUGGUGAUGAUUAUCACUCUGCACCUGCUCCUGUUAAACCCAUCUCGAUCCCUACUGACAACGUUUCUUUUAGUCGAUUCAUUAAGGACCAUUAUGUCGAGAGUGGUGAGGUGUCUGAUGCUGAACAUGUCGCUUUCUUGCUGUAUUGGCUGUCUGCUUAUGUCUUUUGCACCAAAUCUUUGCGCAUACCUGCCAAGCUUUUGCCUUUAGCCAAUCUGCUUCAUGAGGGUCGACAACUUGCUAUGGCUAGGCUCGUCCUUGGCAACCUGUAUCAAAUGCUGAAUGAAGCUGUCGAGGAUAUCCGGAACACUAAGACCGUCUCUCUGAAUGCGGCUGGACCACUUUAGCUGUUUCAACUUUGGUUGAAUGCAGUCUUCGAAUCGCUUCUGCCGGUACAAGAUAAUCCUCUAACUGUUUCUAACACCAGGAUUGAUGCCCAUAGGCUCGAGACCCUGACCCCUGCUUAUGAUGCGUCGAGUACUUUACCAUGUUUCUCGAGCUGAAACACUACCGUUCCAGUUUCUCUCCUUACAGCAAGGCUAUUCGUGGCCCUUUCUGGCUGAGGAAUUCUUAUCCUAAUGCCUCUGAUUCUGCGCUGCCCAAGGAGCACCACAUCACACUUUGGAGGACCCUCUUAUCUCCUAGGGUUUUAACUGUGGGCUUUGCUAGCAGUGACUACACUCUAUGUGGCUACAACCCUCAAUUGGUUUCUCGACAGUUUGGGCUUAGCCAAGUUCUACCCAACACUUUAUUUGACAAGAGUCUAGUCCUGUACCCCGGAACUAUUAAGAGGGUUUCUGUUUUCGACAAGACUGUUCAAUUUUAUAACAAGAGACUCCUCAACCUGAGCCCCUUCACUUACGCUCCUUCAUAUUAUGCCACUAAUGCUUUCAAAGCCUGGUGGUCUGAGUAUUGGGCUCAAAUUUCGAAGCCCCUCGUCGAUUGUCUGCAAUGCAUGACAGAUACUUUUCUUUUGCAGAAGCAGGAUCCGAAGAAGACCAAAGGUAUGCACCUGGCAGAAAUUCGAUCUUUUCAAGAGUUCUUUGGUGUGGUAUAUUACCCAACUCUUCGCCUUCGAGAUACAGUUGCGCAAGCAGCUCAAGUAUUAAGGCAAAAAUGGGAACUUAAAGCCAAGAAAUCCAAGUUAGUGGUUCCUCCUGGUGAGGAAGGUCUAUCUUUUGUUAUUCGAAAAACUGGCUUUAGGUUCCCGUCUUUGCCUACGAGUAAGUUUGCAUUGGCUUUUCCACCGAUCUUGCCUAAAUGGGUUGAUCAUGUAAACAUAAAUGUAUUGGCCAAUCAAGCUCUACCUCCUCGAAAGCGAGUGACUUGGACUAAGUACCACCUAUGGAACUUUCCGUAUCAUGUGCCCGUCGAAAUCUUCAACCACAUAUCGCUGAACAUGCGUAUUGGUCAAGGUAAUACUUCGACUUGGCCUUGGUUUUCCUGUUUUACUUCUUAAUUUUUCUUUUGUUUGCAGCUGAAGUCAUUAUUUGACCAGCUCCUCAAGUUAUUUCCCCAGUGGCUCAUUCCUCCAAGGACCAGCCAGUCGUGAUCGAGGAUGAUGAUGAUGAUGAUGAGGAUGAUGAUGUCAGUCUUGCUGACAAGCUCAAGGUACUUUCCUCAUGCUUUUACCUUUUCCUUUUCGAUUUCCUUGGAUUAUGGGCUGACGUAUGUUUCGACAGAGUCGGAAACGGAAACCUAAGCCUGUUGCUUCGGCCAGUCAGAAGAGGGCCAAGGGGGUUGGUGUUUCCACCCCUAGUGGGGCUUCUAAGUUGGCAUCUGAUGCCCAAACAGAAGUCGCUGACAAAGAGGGUGGUGGCGACGCCGCCAUUCAGGUAUGUUCUCCAUUCUCGAGGGUACCUUGUGAUAUUUUUAACCCGUGGUUUCCUAAUCUGAGUCAUCUCUUGUUUGUUUUGUUUCCUUUAGACUGAUGUUCAUGAGCACUCUACUUCCAAUCCUCCAUCCCGUGAGAAUUCCCCAGCUCCCAUUCCUGCAAGAUCCAAAACUGAAGGUGUCGAGAAACCUCCCAAGGCCGCAUCCUCAGCUAAAAAGACCUCCACAUCUAAGGGAAGGAGGAAGGUCAGGAGCAAAUCUCGUCAUAAGUCUCCUCGCCGUUCCAGAAGCUCCACCAACUCGAGCCCUUCUAAAGACUCUGCUUGCCAGGUAUCUUUAUACUUUUCAUGUUUUAUUGACUCCUCUAAUAUACGUUUUACUUUAUCGAAAGGGCAUUAAAGAGGUUUUUCUUGCAGGAGACUCAGGGUGCAACUUCUCCCAUCCGCGAAACAGAGCCUCUUCCAGGCAAGGAUGAUAGCCCUAUGCCUCCUCCAAUAUCGACUGCCACUGUGCAACAUUCGCCUAAAAUCAAGGGUGGCUCUUCAUCUCAUGUGUCUAGUGAAAAGCUCGACACUUUAUUUGAGGAGGACCCGCUGGCAGCUUUGGAUAGCUUCCUCGAUGGCACCUUGGAAUGGGACUCUCCACCCCGUCAAGCUGAUGCUACUGCUGAGACUGCUCAAUCAAGUGGGGUAGCCAAUUCUCAGCAGAUCGAGGAGAGUAUGGGUCGGCUGAAGGCUAUUGUCUUCGCCAAUGGGUUUCUCGACCAGAUCCAAGCUGAUCCUCAAGCGAGCCAUGCUGCUAAGGAAUUGCUUGUCUUCCUUCUUGGCCAAAAACUCGAUUCUCAACAGGUUGCUGCUUUGGCUAACCUUCAAUCUUUUUUAGUGGAUGCUUCAGCCACCUUUCAUCAAAUCAAGGAUGUUGGUCAAGCUGUCAGCUUUAAGGAGGCAAAAGUCUCUGCUGGUAAAGCUCAAGUUGCAGCAAUGAAAGAGGACUUCAAGAAGUUCACUGCUAGGAAGGUUUUGAUCGCAGAUGAAAUCUCUGAAGUCGACAUCAAACUUGAAGAACUGCAUCGAGAGAUUACCAAACUGGAGAAAAAGCGAGCUGAUUUGGUCGAGGAAGGCCCUGCUGUAAAGGAUCAGUUGGACGUGCUUACUAAAGACUCCAAGGCUCUGAUCAUCUCGACAAAAGAGGUUAUCAAGGAAUUGGAGAUUGAUCAGGCUGUGAAGAAGGGUCUCGAUGCCAAGAUUGCCACCUUUGCUGAUUGUUUGAACUCUUUUAAGACCCUGCUGUAGGACUCUUUUUUGUUUAUUAAUAUGUAAUGAUGGCACUAUUCUAACCAUGGCCUUCGAUGCCAAUUGCGUGUAAUAUUUCGACAAUGGUUUUGGCACCUAAGCCAUAUAAUUUGACGUUUAAUUUGCCAAGUCUUUUCAGUUUCCACUACGCAUUUAUUUUGACGGCUAUUCAUUUAUUGUUGCAUCGCUCAAACUUCCUUGCACCCCCUCACACAGUCGUCGCUUUGUUUCUGGGGAAUGAACCAAUUUAUUGCAAUCUUAUACCACGUUUUCUUGAUUCAAUGCAAGUCUUUGUUCAUUAAAAGCCAAAGCUAUUCACGAUGGUGGUGGUAAUCUGCAUGGCCUGUAACCGUAAGAUGAAGAUUUGGCAACUGAUUGCCACUAAUUAAUGCAUUCCUUGGUUGUUACCCUAUAAAUAGAGCGUUUUUGGUUACUCCUUUUCAGUAACUUCUCCAAACUCUCCCUUGUUUCUUUUCCAGAAUUCUUUUCCUGCUUUCAUAAAUCCCUUCAGCCAUGGCUAGCCGUCGUGUUCUCAACCAGAUCCGGAACUUGGCUUUUGAUCAAGACUUAUUCUGGGAGUUGCACUCUUUCCUCCCUUUGGCUGAAGAGCUUACGGGGCUCAUUAACCAACUUCUUUCGAGGAAUAUUAUUGCCUCGGUAAGAAUUCCUCUUCAGGAGUUCUUGAGCCUCCUGCAUGAAGCUGUACCUCUAUAUGAAGAACACCGGGAGCUUACUGCUCGAGUGUUCUUUGCUGAACACCAGAUUGAUGAGAAGAUGGAGGAGUUUGAGGAGUUGAAGGCUGCUCUUAGCCAGGCGAACCUCGAGGGGAGUGUGGGAGCUCUGAAACCCUUGGUGGACAAGCUUUCUUCUACUGCCCGUGAAGAGCUGGAUAUUCGACAGGAGAAAUCGCGACUGGAAUCCCAACAAGAAGAUGUCUUGAGGCGCAUAGAGCCUCUUAGGGCCAGAUACAAUAGUUGUAGGGCCAACCCUCCUUUUUAAAAUUUCUUUGCCAUAGUUGUAAUGCUCUAUUCUAUUCAAUAAAACAUUCGCAUUUGGCAAUUUAUUCUCUUUUACUUCUUUAUUCGAUGUUUAUCUCAUGCAAUGUUGGCUUAUACGUUUUUAAAUAUUUGCCAUUUAUCGUCAUUUGUCGAUUACCUCCUAAUUCCUUAAUCGAAUAAGCGUUGUUUAAAAGUACUUUCUCGACUGAAAAAGGGCCUUCCCAGUUUGGGGACCAUUUUCCGUAACGUUUAUCUUUUUUAUCAAUUGGUAAGACGACCUUCCAUACGUAAUCACCAAGCAUAAAAGAUUUAGCUCUAACCUUUUUGUUAUAAGCUUUAGCAAUGCGAUCCUUUUGCCUGGUUAAGGUAUCCAACACCAAUAAUCUUUCUUCGUCGAGAUUGACUAAUUCGUCAAGCAUCAUACUCCAAUAAUCUUCACUUGGAAUUUCCUCUUGCCUUUGAAUUCUGCAUGACUGUAAAUAUACUUCUACUGGUAGUACCGCUUCUUGACCAUAUGCUAGUCGAAAAGGCGUUGCUCCGGUAGAUUCCUUAGGUGAAUUCCUGUAAGCCCAAAGCACUUGGCCUAACGUUUGAUGCCAGUUUUUAGGUUUUCGACCAACAUGUUUUUUAAUCAAGGAGAUCAACGUUUUGUUGGCCGCUUCGACUUGACCAUUCGCUUGAGCAUAAUAGGGGGUCGAGGUUAGGAGUUUUAUACCCCAAGAUUCUGCGAAUGAUGCUACCUUUUGGCCUACAAACACUGUGCCUUGGUCUGUAGUCAGUGACUCAGGUAGCCCAAAGCGGUACACUAUGUGAUUCUGAAUGAACUCGAUCACCGUGUCCUGGGUCACAUUUUGUAGAGGAAUUGCCUCUACCCACUUGGUAAAGUAAUCUAUAGCCACUAUGAUGUACUUAUGCUGCCUAGAAGAACAUGGGUUAAUUUCGCCAAUUAGGUCUAAAGCCCAACCCCUGAAUGGCCAAGGCUUAAUGAUCGAGUGUAGUUCACUUGCUGGCACAUGUUGUAUCCCCGCGUGUCUCUGACAAUCUUGGCACCUCUUGGCAUACUCCAUACAAUCUUUCAUAAUAGUAGGCCAAUACAUCCCUUGUCGAAAUAGGAUCCAUUUCAUCUUGAUUCCUGCCUGGUGGGCACCACAUAGCCCGUCGUGAACGGCUGAGAUCGCUAUGAACGCGUCGUCUUCACUUAAACACUUCAGUAGUGUUCCGUCGACGUUUUUCUUGAAUAGCUCGUUUCCCAUGAUGACAUAGCUCAUUGCCCUGUAUUUUGUCUUUCUAUCUGUAGUACCCACAGGAUUUUGCAAGUAAUCGACAAUUGGCUUUCUCCAAUCAUUAGGUGCCAUAUUGUCAAUGACCAGGAUGUCGAGGUUAGAGGGGUUUAGUUUUUCUUUGACCUCGAUAAGCUCUUUUAACCUACAUUUAUCGACCGUAUAUCCUGACGCGAUUUGUGCUAAUUCAUUGGCUUCUUGAUUGUCCACUCUGGAGACGUGACCUAGCCUAGCUUCGUCGAAUUUGGCCAACAAAUUGCUAGCUUUCGUGUAAUACCUAGCUAGAUUUUCACUAAUGCACUUGUAUUCCUUGGUAAGUUGCUUUAUUACCAACUCAGAGUCCCCUUUUACGACGACAUUCUUUGCCCCGAGGGCUAUCAGGAUCUCGAGGCCUGAUGUUAAUGCCUCAUACUCAGCCUCAUUGUUUGAGCAGUUACUCUUAAUCCUAAACUUGAAUUUCGUGGGGAUGCCCCUUGGGGAUACGAUGAACAUCCCGAUCCCAGUGCCAUUUUUAUGGCUAGAACCGUCGAAAAAUAGCUCCCAAGGUUGGAUGCCUACGUAAGUUAUGAUUUCUUGAGGCAAAGUAUGGUCUGCCAGGAAGUCAGCAAUUGCUUGUCCCUUAACCGCCUUCAGUGGGGCAUAAGUUAGUGAAUACUCGGUUAGGGCUAAAGCCCAUUUACCAAUUCGACUAUGCAAGAUAGGUUUGGAUAACAUGUGCUUUAUUAUAUCAUAAUGAGAAAAAACCAUUACAUCGAUUGGCUUUAUAUAAUAUUUCAGCUUUACACAAGAGAAGUACAAGCAUAAACACAAUUUCUCGAUCAUGGUGUAUCGAGUUUCUGCAUCAUUUAACACCCUGCUUAAGUAAAAUAUGGCUCUUUCUUUGCUAUCUUCAUCUUCUUGAGCCAACAUGCUUCCGAUGGUUCCAUCCGUGGCAGAGAUGUACAGCUUCAUUGGCUUUCCUCUUAUAGGUGGUGCCAUUAUAGGUGGGCUAGACAAGUACACUCUGAGUUCAUCGAACGCUUUUUGAUGCUCUGCUUCCCAGCGGAACGCAUCUUCCUUUUUAAGUCGAAGAAGUGGGGAAAAUGACUUGGUCUUCUCACUGAGGUUAGCAAUGAAUCUCCUUAGGAAGUUAAUCUUUCCCAAUAGUGAUUGCAGUUGUUUCUUGCUGGUUGGUGGACUAGUGUCGAGAAUGGCUUUAGCUUUGUUCUUGUUGAUCUCGAUGCCCUUUUUAUGCACCAAAAAACCCAAAAAAUCACCUGCAAUAACACCAAAGGCACAUUUAAGGGGAUUCAUCUUCAAGCCAUAUUUUCUCAUCCUCUCAAAGGAUUUCCUUAGAUGCAACAAAUGGUCAUCCCUUGAUGGGGAUUUCACCACGAUGUCAUCAAUAUAAACCUGCAUGAAGGUUUCUAUAAAAUCAUGAAAAAUGGUAUUGAUUACCCUUUGGUAGGUCGCGCCAGCGUUUUUCAACCCAAAUGGCAUGACCACCCAUUCGUAUGUCCCCAAGGCACUAGGACAUCGAAAAGCUGUUUUCGACACGUCCUCUUCUGCUAUGAAGAUUUGGUUGUAGCCUGAGUAACCAUCCAACAAGCUUAAGUAUUCGUGACCAGCAGCUGAGUCCACCAUCAUCUCAGCAAUGGGCAUGUGAUACUCGUCUUUUGGAGUGGCAGCGUUAAGAUCUCGGAAAUCUAUGCAAACUCUCAUCUUUCCAUUCUUCUUGAUUACUGGAACCACGUUGGCUAACCAGUCCACAUAUCGAGCUGUUCUGAUAAAUUUACACCUGAGGAGUCUUUCAAUUUCUUCCUUGAUUUUCACCAACACAUCUGGAUGGAACCUCCUGGGCAAUUGUUUGACUGGUUUCUUGUCUUCUUUGAUGGGCAACUUCAAUUCCACCACUUCUCGACUGAGGCCAGGCAUUUCAUCGUAAUCCCAAGCAAAACAGUCUUUGAAUUCCUUGAGUAAUUUCACCAUCCUGUCUUUUAGCUCCGGGUCAAUGAGAGCACUGAUGUACGUUGGCCUCUUUUCUAAGCCAUCACCCAGGUUCACUUCUUCUAAAGGGUCUUGCGCUUCCAUUUUCUUGGAAAAAUCGACCACUGGCUUCUCGAAGCCCAAUGCGCCGUCAUCAUAAAUGCAAUCUAGCCUCAGGUUGCAAAGGUCCUCGAAUCCACAUUCCUCGGCACUCCGCUCGUUUUCUUCUAUGCACGUGUCAUCCUUAUUUGUUGUUGCCUCCUCCUGAGGUGUUAAUUCGACGGGCAGGAUUGAGGCAUUGGUUUCGUCAGUAGCCAUUUCUUUGGCUAUUCUUGCGGCCUCUAAGGCCGUCCUUAUUCUUUUUUCGGCUGCGUAAGCCGAAAUUCGAGCUAGGCUCGAGUUAAUCAUCUUUAACCUCAUUUUGCCACUCAGUUGUGGCAUCCUUUUCUUCAUCGCUGUGCCAUCCACUCAUGGCAUCAGGUUUGUAUGCUUCAUUGAGGUUUAGGCCCCAGAUGGGAUCCAGCGUUACUGAGUACUCUGAGUAGGGGUUGAAGUAUUGGCUAGCCACUGUGUCUAAAGGAGCAAUUGUGGCUAAACUCUUCUCGAAAUUCUUCUUACCAACGUAGCUUGUUUCUGCUAAAUAGUAGCUUUGAUCUGCUUGUACAUUUUCGACAACUCCAUCAGCUUUCCAAAUGGAUAUACGUUGGUGUAAGGUCGAAGGCACUGCCCCCACGCCAUGAAUCCAUUCUCUUCCCAGCAGCAAAUUGUAAUUGGCCUUUGAAGGGACCACAAUGAACAAUGUGGAACGGGCUACUGUUCCUACGGUUAUGUUCAACAUAAUUGCCCCUAGGGAAGAACCUGUCUUUCCUUCAUAAUCAGAAAGCACCAUGUCAUGUGAGAUUAGAUCCGCUUCAGUUUUACCUAACUUCUUAAGCAUAAAUCCGGGCAUGAGGUUGAUUGCAGCUCCCCCGUCGACAAGGACUUUGUUAACACCCUUCUCCUCGACUCUGGCCCAAACAAAGAGCGGUUUCAAAUGGCUCUUCAUUUGCUCGGUUGGCCUUUGGAAGAUAGCUCUUUCAUCUUCGACAGAUCCUCUCUGCAUCACAUAAUAACACAAAGGAUUGUCAUCUGGUUCGUCGUCGACAUAGUAGUCUUCCUCGCUUUCAGUGACCUCUGAAAUUCUAUCAAAUUCUGCAGGUAGGAUAGACACGAUGCAGAUGAUGUUAAGCUCUUCUCCAUCACUGUCGUCGAAAUCUUCGAGCAUGUCUUCAUCCUCAUCCUCGACAACAUCCUUCCCUUUUUUCUUAGCUGGAUUUGGUGGUACGGUUGUUCCCUGUUUGAUGGCGUGGUCCAGCUGGUUGAUAAUCGACGCCACACUAGGUUCAUUGCGAGAGUUGUCUUCUGGCUUUAUGUCCCAUAGUGAACGGAACUUGCCACCUCUUUCCCUCUCAGCUUUCCUUUUCCUCAAAAAACGCCUGAACUGAGUCCUGGUCAUUUGUUCAGGAGCAUAGUAGUUCCCAGAGCCAUAGGAGUAGCUUCGUGACACACGGGAAUUGUUGAUGUAAGAGGAUCCCUGGCCUAAGUCGAUUUUCUGCCACUUAGGGUAUGGUUUUGGCCUUGGAGGCGUUGGCCUGAACCAUUGGUUUCUUGGCAAUCCAGCAUUGGGGAGGUAAGUUUUGUCUUUAUUGCUUGCUUUCUGGCCUUUAUGGCCAUCGAGUUCCUGGUCUCUCUCGACCCACUCCUCGUGAGGGUACUUCAAUCUCCUGGAUACAGGAGCCUUUCUCUGAUAAUGCCUUUUCAUUUCUGAAUCUUGAUAGGCCUUGGCUGCGGAUUUGUCGAAAACAGCGCUGCAUCGAGGGCACAGCAUAACUUCUUUCUCGCCAUCUUUGCUGCGGGAUAGAAACUCGACAAGGGUUUCUCCAGCCUUGGGGUAAACCUCUUCCAAGUUCACUUCCUUCACGACGUCUGGUUCUUCGACAGCCGUGUUUUCCUCCUUUGCCUCCUCGAGUGUCAGGCCCAGAUUCAGCUUCUCGGAAAUGUCGACCAUGCCAAUGUAGAAAGGUUCCACGUAGUUGGCUUCAGCUACCUGCAGUGGGUCGGAAUCAAUCUUCAUUUGACUUUUGGUUUUUUCGUCAUACUUGAGCCUUCCUGAGUCCAAUGCCCCCUGCACAAGGUCCCUGAAACGAACACAUUGUGAGGUCCAAUGACCAAAAAAGUUGUGAUAUUUGCAAUAUUUCUUCCCUUUCCUUUGUUCAGGAGAAGGAAGUUUUUGGUCUUUAGGGACCACAAGCAAACCAUCAGACACAAGUAUAUCAUAGAUUGCAUCGCAUUUGGCCACAUCAAAAGUAUAAGUUUUCACAGCAGGAAUCGUGUUCUUGGGGUUUUCCUCCCCAAGUUUGUUUUCACGUGGUUUCAAUGCUUUACAAACAUAAGGAUCCCCUGGCUGAAGUUCAGCCAGAUUGACGUCAUUCAAAUCGACGUCCGCCGGGACUUCUCGAUAGACACAUGGACUCUGACCUACUGAAUCCGCGUCUAUGUACGCUACCUUCUCCUUCUUUGGCCACUUGGUAGUCUUGGCCCUUUCCUCUGACUUUUCGGCCUUUAGCAAUUCGAUGUGCCUCACUCUAUCUGCGAGUAAAGACAUAUCUCGAAUAUACUGAGUGUCGAUUUUCUUUCUAAUGGAAUAUUCUAGACCACCAGCGGCUAAGACAACUAGCUCGUGUUCAGGGACAUGGGUGAAACAUCGGGAUUUAAGCAUCCUAAACCUGUUUAGGUAAUCAUCAAUAGACUCCGCUGGCUUUCUUUUAACACUAGCCAGGUCCUUCAAACUUACUUUGCACUCUCCCCUAAAGAACUGUUCAUGGAAAAUUCUUUCCAACUGGGCCCAUGUAUGGACUGACCUAGGAGCGAGGGUGGUGAACUAGGUAAAUGCAUUUUUGGUUAAAGAACUCGGGAAGUACUUCAUUUUUAAAUUUUCAUUGAUGGCUAAGUCUCCUGCUUCGAUUUGGUACCUGGCUAUGUGUUCUACCGUGGACUCUCCUGAAUCCCCCGAGAACUUAGUGAAUUUGGGGACCUUCCAGCCUCGAGAGAGUUCUGCUUCGAGAACCUCCUCUGUAAAGGCUGACACAAAAUGGGGUCUAUUCGCGAAACCCACGUUGAAACCAUGUUGGUUCAACAAUUGCUCCACCACAGCAGCAACAUUUUGUUGCCCCCCAGCGUUCUGGUGUCGAAUUCUUUCUAGCACACCAUCAGCGUGUUCUUCCCUGUUUACCAUAUACACAUUUUGCAAUGGCGGCUGCACUGCCUCGUACAAAGGGUUUGCCCUCAUCUCUUGGUGUUGCGGCGCCUGAUAGCGCACCGGGGCAGGGAUAUGGUUAGGCAACGGGAUUUGGUUAAUCCCUGGUGCCGGUUGGAUUUCGACUGGUGCCCCCAGGGCUGUCGCCAAACGAUCCAUCUGUCGUUCCAAAUGCUGAUUAUUGGCAUUAUUAUUUUGGAGCACAGGGUUGAUUAGCUCACCUAUCUGUCGAGAUAGCAUAUUAACCAUUUCAUGGUUACUAUCAUCUACUUGCUGCCUAAUGGCUUGAAGUGAACCAUUAUUCAUACCUGUAGAUAAAUAAAUUUGUGAACUAGAUCCAGGAAUAGAAGGGCUAACUCGACUCCCCAAAUUUAGCAUUGUUCCAUUUGCCCCAAAAGGGGGUAUGCCGAAUGGAGGAACAUUUUCAGGGAACGUCGAAUACGUGCCUUGUAUGCCUUGCAUUAUAGACGUAGGCAUACUAUAAGGCAUGUUUUCCCUCGUAACUGUUGGAACAAUUUGUGCCUGUACUGAUGUAGAUACAGGCAUUUCUGCAACUGCAGAAAUUGCUACAUUCUGGGUUGGCAUAGUGGUGCCAUGCCCCAUUCCAGUAGACACUUCUUCAUUAUUGUUACCGCUACUUCCCCCAGGGCUACUCUGAUUACCCACGUUAGAUCCUUGGGGGGAGGUUCUUCCUCGAUUACUUGCCAUACUCAAAGUCUUACCACUUCUCAGGUGCAUAUAAAUCACAAUCAAGGCAAGUAGCAAAUACCAAAUAGCAUGCAGCAAACAAAACACACAAAACGCUUCUGUAAAACUUAGUUUUCACAAAAACGGUCCCACUGGGCGUGCCAAUUUGUUUACACGGAUUUUUGGUAAACAAAUAUCCUCUUAGUUCGACUAAAGGAAGUUUAGAUUCGGGGUCCUUUUGAGAAAACGCUUUGCCAAAGUGUAGUGUGUGAACGAGUGUAUUCUCGACAAUAAUAAACAACUCAAACGAAACUGGACUUUAUUGAGUAUGAGUCGAUUACAAAACAGUCAAGCAAACUUAAAAUAGCAUGAAAGCAAAUUUCGACAAAACAAGUUACACAUAAGAACUGGGAAUUAACAAACUGAAAUACAAGGAAAUUAAAGCGUUGGUUCUGCAACAUACUCCUCCAUCAUCACGUUCUGCUCUCGAAGUCUCAUUGAUGCGGACGUUUGGAGCUUUUGGUGAAUUUUCAGAGUUUUUAGUUGGGAACCCUUUCUUCUGCUGCUGCUUCCUCUAUUUAUACUGUUCUUUCUGCCCAUGUUCUUGGCGGUUUUACUUGGAUGCACGAUGGCUUCGUGGGUUUUGAAUUUUGGCGCCAUACCCCACGUUUAGCCGAUGGUCUUCGCGCACGUGACUCUAUUGCCACGUGGAUGGUUCUGAGUCGCGGGCAACCGUUGCUAUUCGUGGCAUCGUGGGUGUACGCACGUGCUUGUAAUCGCUUGUUAUUCGGUAACUGCCCCUUCCAUUAAGAUGAUCGAGAUUUCUUCAUCUUCUGAGUGUGUCGAGUUAUGGCUUUUACUAACUUGUCUUUGAGGGACAUCGUGUGCUGAGUUGCCGGCUUCGCCCAACCCCUUCUGUCGAGAAACCACUUUUUGCACCAUGGUGUCGAUAAUUGUAAUGCUUGUAAUUUUGGCUUAACACAGCUGCACACAAGAUACUGUGUACUCAAAACCUAAACGUGCUAAAACCUCUACAAUAAUGUUUAGAAUUUCGGAAAAGAUCAAGAAGACUAAUUUUCCUUCAUAUAUAUCAUGUUCUACGAGUUCACCUUCUUAAAAAGUUCACCAAUCCUUUUUACCUUCUACUAACUCUUUUCUUUUCCAUGAAAACCAUAAUAAUACUAAUAUUAAAUGUCAAUUAAAACCGUAACAGAUUUAAUUGCUAUUGGAUUGUACAACCGUGGAAAAAGAUUUAAUGUGAACUGAAGAAUUUAAAACCAAUAUAUGUUUUAAUUGGGUAGGUGGAAAAACCUGUCGAAAAAAAACUGGCAUGCCAUUAAUUCUUACAGUAUGCUCAAAUUACUUGUUUCAAUUUUGUCAUGUUUGUUAUGGAGUGUGAUAGACCGCUUAAAUUGCCGCGAGAGCGGGGAAUGUCCAAACGUAAACAGAGAGAGGUUUUUUUUCAAGGUUUUGUUUGCCACCUGUUGAAAUGACAAAGAGAGCUAAUGAAAAGUUCCAAACAAUAGAAAGUCAAAAAACAAUGAGUGGUGGAGCUAGACGCAAGGUGCACCAAAGAGAAAACCUCGGCAGGACGAAGCUCACAUGACUGAAAAUAGGUGAGACAAUGGGAUAUAAAAAGGGAGAAAUCAUGUAAGUGCAAGAGGCAGAAGAAGAGAAACAAUCUAUCUUCUUCCAAAUAAAAAAUAAAGGAAGGAGAUAGGAAAGGGUUGAAAAGGAUAAAAAAAAAAUUACAUUAGAUACAUUGUUGGCUGAAGGAAAAAAAUUCAAAAAAAUGGCUCGUGGAGCGAUUAUUGCAUCCAUGCUCUGCCUUCUGGCUGUAGCAGUGGUGGCUGAAGACCCUUAUAUCUAUUACACAUGGAAUGUGACCUACGGUACCAUUUCACCUCUUGGAAUCCCCCAACAGGGUAUCCUCAUCAAUGGUUUGUUCCCAGGACCUGAAAUCAACUCCACCAGCAACAACAACAUUGUCAUCAACGUGUUCAACAACCUUGACGAGCCAUUGUUGUUCACAUGGAGCGGUAUCCAGCAGAGGAAAAACUCAUGGCAAGAUGGUACAUUGGGAACUCAGUGCCCCAUCCAGCCAGGAACCAACUACACAUACAAGUUCCAGGUCAAGGACCAGAUCGGUAGCUACUUCUACUACCCCUACACCGGCCUCCAGAGAGCCGCCGGUGGAAUCGGUGGUUUGAGAAUCUACUCCAGGUUGUUGAUCCCUGUCCCAUAUGCUGACCCUGCUGAUGAAUACUGGGUCCUCAUGGGUGACUGGUACGCCAAGCCCCACACCACCCUCCAGAAGUUUUUGGACAGUGGUCGUAGCCUUGGAAGGCCAGAUGGCGUCCACAUCAUGGGUAAAAAUGGUAGCCCAGUCCCACUCUACACCAUGGAGCCUGGAAAGACCUACAAGUACAGGCUCUGCAAUGUGGGUAUGAAGGACUCCCUUAACUUCAGAAUCCAAGGCCACCCAUUGAAGCUUGUUGAGAUGGAAGGCUCCCAUGUGGUGCAAAACGUCUACGACUCCCUCGACAUCCAUGUUGGUCAGUGCUACUCUGUCCUCGUGACUGCCGACCAGGAACCAAAACAAUACAAGAUGGUCGCCUCCACACGCUUCACCAAGAAGGUGUUGUCCGCCACCGCUCUCAUCACCUACUCUAACGGUAACGGUCCCGCCUCCCCUGAGCUCCCACCUGCACCUGAAGGCUGGGCCUGGUCCCUCAACCAGUUCCGUUCCUUCCGUUGGAACUUAACCGCUAGUGCUGCCAGGCCUAACCCUCAAGGCUCUUACCACUACGGCCAGAUCAACAUCACCCGAACCAUCAAGCUCGUGAACACCGUCUCUAGGGCUAACGGAAAACUCCGAUACGGAAUCAACGGUGUGUCCCACGUUGACAACGAAACCCCACUCAAGCUCGCCGAGUACUUCGGUGUUGCUGACAAGGUUUUCAAGUACAACAUCAUCUCCGAUGAGCCCCCGGCAACCAUCGGUGACCUCACCUUGGCUCCCAAUGUCAUUAACGCCACUUUCCGUACCUUCAUCGAGAUCAUCUUCGAGAACCCCACAAAGGUUGUUCAGUCAUACAACUUGGAUGGUUACUCCUUCUUCCUUGCCGCAGUUGAGCCAGGGAAAUGGACACCCGAGAAGAGGAAGAACUACAACCUUUUAGAUACAGUGAGCAGGCACACCGUUCAGAUAUACCCCAAGUCAUGGGCAGCAAUCAUGCUUACAUUCGACAACGCUGGCAUGUGGAACUUGAGGUCAGAGCACACCGAGAACCGCUACCUUGGUCAACAAUUGUACAUCAGUGUCUUGUCUCCUGAACGCUCUCUCAGGGAUGAGUACAACAUUCCAGAAACCCAGCUCCUUUGCGGCAUCGUCAAGGAUAUGCCCAAGCCCGCACCCUACUCUUAAGCAUUUAUCAACCUGCAUUAAGACGAUGUAUUAGCUUUAUUUUGUAGCUGAUGUAUCCACCGACCCUUUCCUGAAUGCCACAAAUUUUCAGCUCCAUAUGUAUACACAUAUAUAAUAUGAAUGUCAAAUUCUCCUUCCAAUCCACUUCUAUGUGGGUUUUGUCAUGGAAUAUGUACACACAUCAGUUCUUUCAUUAAUUUCAAGUGACGGAAAUUAAACUUUACUCAAGCUAGAGCUACUACGACCUGAGCUCACACCAUAAGCAGAAGGAUAUAUAAUUGAACUAACCAAAAGAACUAAAUAUUAAGAAGAAAUUAUUAGUCUGUUUGUGCUGGUUUGGGUGGGUUGUGCCCAGAGGCGGACCCAGAAAUUUUGUGACACCUGGGCAAAAUUUUCACAUCGUCUUGAAUAUUUGGAGGAUACUCAUUAAUUUGUUUCCUACGCCCUGGAUCACGCACAAUCUCAUUCGGAUGAAACUCAUUGACCACAUUAGGCGAUGGUUCUACUUCGGCUUCCGGUUGUACAACAUUCACAUUCUCAAUACUUGCUCUAGGAACCAAGAACUUCCUCAUCUCUAAAAUUUAAUGAUCUAAAGAAACAACAAAGAAAAGCACAAUUAGAAAUUAUGAUCAAAUUAAAAAAGCACUAAAAACAACACUAAUAAAUAAAAAUGAAAAGGAGACAAUCUAUAUUCACAUGAUUAGUAUAUUGGAUGUACAAAAAAUGGAAGAGAAGAGAUCAUGGACCACAAGCAAUUACCAAAUUUUGGACCACAAGCAAUUACUAAAUUGAAUUGAAUACAUUACACAUUAUACAAUAUACAUGGCAAAUGGCAAUUGUUGGCAAGUGGCAAACCGCAUCUCAUGACUCAUGUAAUCUGUCUCUCACACUUUUCUAACUUAUCCUUCACACACUCACAUAGUCACACAUGACACAUACAAUUAAUAUUUGAUUCAAGAAUACCAAACCCAACUCACUCACGCAUCUCUCACUCUCUGUCUCACUUUUCCCUUUUUUUUUUACCUUUUCUGCCUUAACCUUUCUCUCAGUCUCUCACUCAGUCUCUCUCACCGCUCACCUCCUCUCCUCUGUUCCUCUCGACAACGCCCACGCCACGCCUCACCCACACGACACGCAGGCCGCAACCGCGCCCUCACCCACACCGGCACACGCAGGCCGCAGCCACGCCCACGCCCUCACCACCCACCGCCUCAGGCGGCCCUCACCCACGCCCUCACACCACAGCCCACAGGUCUCACUCACGGCACACCCCCUCACAGAGUCACAAUAGGAUAUUGAGAUUUACAGAGCAAAUAAGUUUGAAGCUAGGAUGGAGAAAUCAGAGAGAAAGAGACCUGAUUCCUGAAGAUUGAAGCUUGAAGAGUAAGAGUACUCAGAGAGAAAUGAAGAUUGCUGAAGAUUGAAGGGAAGCCUGAAGAUUGAAGCCUGAAGAUUGAAGUCAAUUGAAGUCUGAGAAGGAAAUUGAAGCGUGAUUUGAAGCCUGAAGGGAGAAAGUGAGUAGGAAAUUGAGAAUAGGGUUUCUAUUUUAUUAUUUUCCCCUUUCUUUUCCCCUUUAUAAAAUAGUCCUCAAUUUUACCCCAACCUUUAAAUUUUGCCCUUUUUUAUUUUUUUUUUGAGGCCCAAAAGAUGAUGUGGUCCAAAGAAAAAAAUUUUUUUUUGGUCAGAGCUUGGGCAUUUGCCCUAGGUAGCCAGGCGCUCAAUCCGCCUCUGGUUGUGCCUAUAUACUAGCUAAUAUCGGCAUUUGUUUCGUUUUUUAUUUGUAUUUUCCCUUUGCUAAAUUUUGUACUUUGUUCGUGGGUUUGAAGUACCCUUUUACUUCCUUUAAUAAAAUGUUUCUAUAAAAAAAAAAAAGAAUAAUAGAGCGAUCAAAUGGAAAUGUAUAUGCUUAAUACGGAUUCAAAAUUCUAAACAUUCGUUCGUGGUGUAUAAAAUGCACUGUUUAUAAGUUAUUUUACAAUGAUGAGCCAUUAAAUUGUUUUCUAAUUUUUUCCCGAGUAAUGAUAUAUACACACCUCCUUAUUUAUACACUUCAUUUCCACCUAUUUUUAUUUCUAUCUCUCUCCUCUUAUCAUCUAUCAUAUCUUAUACUUUCUCUUUCUUACUUUUUAUUUUCUUCCUAUCUCUCUCCUCCUCCACCUCUUUCCACCUCAAUUUAGAGGUGUGGACAAAUAAUUAUUGAUUUUUUCCCUAUUGUGUUGUUUGGAUAUAUACAAUUGCAUACGUGUCAUGUGUACUUGUCAUUUUAUAGAUUUAAAUAUGUUUUUAUCAUGACUUAUAUACACUUAUAAUAUAAUACUAGUGUUUUUUUCCCGUGCGUUGCACGGAAAAUAUAUCUAUUGUUUUUUAUACAUCAAUUAAUCAUGAAUGUGAUUAUGCGAGUUCAUUUUCAGUUUUUUUUAAUUCUAAGUUAUUUAUGUUUUAAUUUUUUUAAAGUUGUUCUCAAUAUGUGUUCAGGGAACACGUGUCUACAAUAUCUUAGAUAAUUAGGGACAACCCUUUAAAAUUUAAUGGAUUAUAAUCUCAGCACUACAUAUUUUAUUUUCAAUCAUAUUGUAGAUCAUGAGAAAGAAUAAAAGGAGAAAUCAAAGGAUUCCUGUAAAUAUGCAGUAAAUUAGACUUGAGACUUUUCCAAAUUUAAAGAGAUAAUGAAAAUGGUUUCAAGAUUUGUUUUGGAAAUAAAUUUAGUAAGGAGUAAUCUAGGUUAUUCUUAGAUAAUUAGGGCAAAUCUUUAAAAAUUCGGUUUUAAGAUAAAAUAACACAACAGAAGAGAAACUAUCUAAUGGAAUGACACGUGAAUAUUUUUUUUAUGGGAAUUAACCUGAGAAUGACAAGUGAAUUUUUUUUUAUGAGAAUUAACAUGAGAAUGACAUGUCACUAAAUCAGCCUGAUAUAAGUUAUUCUUUUCUAUUGUAUAUAUAUUGGUUGAUGGUAUUCGAAAGAAAAAUCCUCUUUUUUCCCCUAAAUAAUUUUGUUUUAUUUAAAAUGGUUCCUCUAAUGUCAUAAUGCGAACAAAGGUUAUAGGAAAUUAAAGUUUGUGUGGGGAUAGACUGUAAGGAGCUUGUUUCUCUUGCGAUUGAUACUAACAGAGACAGAAUCCGAGUCCAUCCUCAAGCCUCCAUUAUCCGUGAUAUUAAGAUUCUCCUGGAUUUGGAUUGGCGGGUUGAGCUUUCCUGGAUUCCCAAUGAAGCCAAUGUUGCGGCUGAUUGCUUGACCUAACAGGGCGCUCAUUCAUCCCUUCCUGGGUUGCAUAUGGUGACUAAUGUUGCUCCUGAGUUAGACUGGUUGAUCCUUAAGGAUGCCUUAGUUGUUCCUUAGUUUGUUGUUGCUCUGUUGUCAUUUUUCCGAAGCACCAAAAAAAUAAUAAUGCUUAUUUGUCAUUUUUUAGUUGGGAUAAAUAUGUAUUUGGUUCUUAAACUAUAGCGAAUUAUUAUUAUUAGUCCCUGAAUUAAUUUUUCAUUGAAAUCCAUCCCUUAACUUGUUGGCGUGUGAGGUUUUGGUCCCUCGAGUCAUUUGAAUGAUUACGUAGCAUAGUGACGUGUAUGUAUUUUAUGAUGUGUUAUUUUUAGUCUAAAAUUUCAGUUCAAAUAUUUUGUGUGCUUUCUCCUUUGUGACAAUUUUAAGCACUUAAAAAUCAAGUCUUUAACCAUAAAAUUUUCCAUCUAUUUUCUCAACUUCUCUCCAAAUUUUCUUUUUAAGACUUUAUCACUAAUUGCAUAUUCAAUUAAACAUCAUUUUUAAGACAAGUUUUAGAAUAAAAAUAUUCUCCUUUUCCAUGCAUAGUCUCGCUCAUACAUUCCUAACUAUCAUGAUUGAUUAUCUUUAAAAUCAACUAACAGAAGGUAAAUCUAUGAUGAAAAAUAAUUCAAAGUUUAAAAACAAGACUUUAAUCAUUAAGAAAUUUCACAAGACUUAAACUUUAAGGAAUCAAAUUAGAGGUCUAGUAUGCUUUUGCAAAAUCGAAUAAGAAACCUCACUCUAUAUUGGAAUAGGCUUUUGCAAAAUCCAGUUUAACAAAAUGCCACCUUCAUCCAUUUUCUUCAACAAAUCAACUAUUUCAUUUGCUUUAUACAAUGCAAUUAGCUAUUUGCCUCUUUCUUUUUAUCUUGUUAUUGCUUCUUUUUGUUUCUUUAUGCUUUUGUGAGAUACUAUAUUCUUGACUCAUAGUUUUUUUUUUUUUUUUUGAAAUAAGAAUGAACUUUCAAUAAUACGGGAAAUCAGAACAAGCUACAUCCAUGAUGUUUGGAGGGACAUACCCCAUCGAAAUUGAAUCAGAAGAAGAACAAGCUAUAUUAGCAAGAAAAUGAGCAAGGUUAUUCUGUGUUCUAAAAACAUGAGAAACAGAAAAAAAACUCAAAACCAGAAACUAAGCUACAGCAAUCAUCAAUGAUAAGUUGGAGAUCUGGGGAAAGCUGUCCAGCCCGAAAACCACGCGCAACAACAAGGGAAUCUGUCUCAGCCAGAACUCUGGUAAAACCAUGAUGCACCAUGAGUGUGAAUGCCCACCUCAAAGCCAAGGCUUCAGCCAUAGAAAUACUUACCUCAACCUUACAUCUACUGCAAGCAGCCAUAACCACCAAACCAGUAUGAUCCCUAAGGACACACCCCAUACCGAGCCACCCUUCCUUGAUGCUGGCAUCAACAUUUAAUUUGAGUUUCCCUACAUCUGGAGGCUGCCAUCUUCUCAACUCUUUGGGUUUCUUCUGCCUUAUGUGCCCCUCAUUCCUUGAAAUGAACUCUCUAUCAAAAAGAGAAGCAACCUGAAAAGCUCUUACAGGAUCAGCAACCUUUCCUGAAAAACAUAAGUCAUUCCGAGCCUUCCAAAUGGACCAUAACACAUGACAAAUCAAGGACAAGUGGUCACAAUCAUUCAACCCCAACAGAUUUUGAAACCAAGAAACCACCUCAGCCGAAUUGAGAACACAGUGGGAUAAACCCGACCCAAACCAUACAGCCCUGGAAAAUUCACACUCAAGAAACAAAUGAUGCAAUGACUCAGAAGCACCACAACAAAGGGGACAAACAAUAUCCAGAGCAAUACCUUUUUUCACAAGAUUUUCCCUAGUAGGCAAAAUCCUAUUCAUCAAUUUCCAGAGAAAAAUUCUGAUUUUAUGAGGAACAUCAACCUUCCACAAAUCAUUCCAAGUUGAACAAGGAAGAAAAGAACUAGAAGCACCAGGGCCAGAACUUGAACAUGAACUGAGCAUUUGAUAGGCAGAUUUAACAGUGUAAUUCCCAUCAUUGGACCAAUGCCAAGCAAACUUGUCUUCAGGGAGCCUAAUCGAAAGAGGAAUUGAUAGAAUCUUAUCAGCCUCAAAACCCAUAAAGGAGGACUUAAUUAAGUCCUCAUUCCACCUUUUCUGCUCAAAAUCGAUAAGCAUACUGACCUUAGCAUCCUUAGGCAGAUCAAUUGCAGGACUCCAGACCUUAAACCCUGACUGAUUAGGCAACCAACCAUCCUGGAAAACUCUGACAGAUUUACCAUUCCCAAUAGUCCACCUAGAGCCUUUAGAAAUCACAUGCCUCGCAGCUAGAAUACUCCUCCAAGAAAAACUAGGAAGAUACCCCAACUUAGCAUCCAUAAAAGAAGUCCUUGGGUGGUAUCUACUCUUAAAAAUCUGAGCAACCAAAGAAUCAGCCCUGUUAAUCAGCCUCCAACAUUGCUUACCGAGUAUUGCAUCAUUAAAUUUUCUAAGGCACCUAAACCCCAAACCUCCAACAGCCUUUGAUCUCUUAAGCCUUUCCCAACUCAUCCAAUGAAUUCCUUUAUCCUUAGAAUUAUUUCCCCACCAAAACCUAGCCAUCAUACUCUCCAUAGCUGAAACACACCCUUCAGGAAGCUUAAAACAGCUCAUCACAUAGGUGGGAAUCGCUUGCGCAACAGACUUCAAUAAAACCUCCUUGCCCGCACUUGAUAAAUGCCUCUCCUUCCACCCCUUUAACCUCUUCCAUAUCCUAUCCUAGACUAGAGAGAACACCACUUUCUUUGAUCUCCCAAAAACAGUGGGAAGACCAAGAUAUCUAGAAUGAGAUUGAACAGUCUUGACACCCAUCCUUUGCUGGAUUGCAUUUCUAACAUCUACCGGCACAUUAUGACUGAAAGAAAUCUCAGAUUUAUCUAGAUUCACCAACUGUCCCGAUGCUCUCUGAUAAUCAUCAAGGAUGCUCAAAACAGAAUCAGCCUCUUUGAGAGAAGCACGAGCAAAAAGCAGACUGUCAUCAGCAAAUAGGAGGUGUGAAAUCACCGGGGCACCUCUUGCAAUCCUCAAUCCAUGAAUCUGCUGGUCUCUCAUCCUGGAAUUGAUUAAACAAGACAAGGCAUUAUCACAUUGGAUAAAGAGAUAGGGGAAAUCGGAUCCCCUUGUCUCAACCCUCUAGAGGGAACAAUUUUGCUGCUUGGAAAACCAUUGAACAGAAUUUGAUAAGACACCGAGGAUACACAAUCUAUGACCAGCUUAGUAAACCUGCUAGGGAACCCCAUAUGGACCAAAACACCCUUGAGAAAGCUCCACUCCAUCCUAUCAUAUGCCUUUGCCAUGUCGAGCUUCAAAGCCAUCAUUCCUUUUUUCCCUUUUUUCUUCUUCUUCUGUAAGAUCAAGUUUUGAUCUAGUAGUACAACUCUAUGUUUUGAUGAUUACAAGUUAACCUUUUGAUAUGAAUAAUUAUGGUACUCUAACGUGUUUUUCUGAGUGUGCUAUUUACAGGCUCUGACCUUGAUUCAGUCUCACAUAAAUCAGAAGCACUGUGCAUAAAGAGUGACCCAAGCAACGCUUUCGCAACAUCUAUGUUCACUCUGAACAGUAGAAAUGCUUCAGAAGAUCUGAAGUUAUACAAACUCUGAUAUGGACUCAGCCACCAGAAGUUCUGAAGAUCCAGAAGUUCUGACAACCAAGAAACUCUGAAGGUUCAGAUGUUCUGAUGGUGUAGAAGACUCUGAAGAUUCAGAAGCUGAACAGUGGAAACUCUGAUGUCCAGAAGCAAGAAACUCUAAAGACCAUGUACUUCCCUCUGAGUCCAGAAUCAGAAGAUACAACGGUCAGAGGAUCUGUGCUUUCCCUCUGACUCUGAUCAACCGGCUUCACAAGUUCCAACAUGAAGCAUUCCCCUGAUCAGAAGUCUCCUAGGUUUAAAGGUCAAGUCGCUAUCCAAGUACAAAAGCAAAUUGUACUAUCCUGACGACCUACCUAACAUCCUCAGCCACAGCAGAAGCUGGAAUUUCCAGAACUUCCCUCCAACGGUAGCAUUUCCAUGCAACGUUCAACCCUAAUCCUUGGAGUAUAAAUAGAGGCUGAAGAUUGAAAGAAGCGGCUAGAAGCAUUCAUACACGCGCAAGAAAUAUUCAAAUCCUUCUAAGCUUUCUUUCAUCUUGAAUUUCAUUGUGUUUACUAUAAGCUUUUUAGAAGCACCUUCUUUGUAGACAAGAACUUCAUAUACAGUUGUAUAGUUUGCCUUUAGGAGAUCAAGGUUGAUCGGAUCCUUGAGAAGACUAAGAGAGUGAAUCUUAGUGUGAGCUAAGUCAGUGUAUUGUUAGUCACUUGUAGGUUUCAAGUGCAGUUGUAACACAUACCUGAUUAGUGGAUUGCCUUCAUUCUAAGAAGGAAGAAAUCACCUUAACGGGUGGACUGGAUUAGCUUGAGUGAUUUAUCAAGUGAACCAGGAUAAAAUCCUUGUGUGCUUUUCUAUCUCUUAUCUUUAGCACAUAGUUUGUUUCGAAAGAUUUGCCAAAAUCUUUAAGGUGGAAGUUUUAUCUUGAAAACGUUAUUCAAACCCCCCCCCCCUUCUACCGUUUUUCAUACCUUCAUCUUCAACCAAUGGAAACACUCAAGGGUAAUCAAAGCAUUAUCGGUAAUGAGCCUACCCGGAAUAAAUGCACUUUGAGCUGGAUCAAUAAUCUUCGGCAACACCCCUUUGAUCCUAUUAGCCAUUGCUUUAGUGACUAUCUUCAUAACAACGUUGCACAAACUAAUGGGCCUAAACUCCUUCGGGAUGGAUGGCUUCUUACACUUAGGAAUAAGGGUAAUGAAAGUGGAAUUAAUACUUUCCGGACUCAAACCCUCAUUCAGAACAGCCAACACAUGCUUAACAACCGACGCACCAACAAUGUGCCAAUACUCUUGGAAGAACUUUGCUGGGAGACCAUCAGGCCCAGGGGCCUUGAGAGGAUGCAUUUGGAAUAUGGCCUUAACAACUUCAUCCUCCUGAAAAUCACUAUCAAUCAAAUCCACAUCCUGCUGCUCCAACUUGGUGUCAAUGGCCCUGCAAAUGUCAGGGGGUUCCUCCACCAUUUGGGAAGUGAAAAUAGAUGAGAAAUAACUGUUCAGAAUAGCAGAAACGUUCUCAGGCUUGUUGUACCACACACCAUCCUCUCCUUUCAGCUUUUUAAUGCUAUUCACCGCCUGCCUUUGAUUUGCUUUAGCAUGAAAAAACCCAGUAUUCCUGUCCCCAUCUUUUAACCACAUAGCUCUGCUCCGUUGCCUCCACAUAGUCUCUUCAAGCUGCAAAAGCAGCGAGUGUUCUUCUACCAUCUCCUUAAAUUUCGCCAGAUUUUCAGGUUUAUCAUCCCAAGAAGCAUCCUUCUGCAACUCACCCUCUAGAAAAAUGAUUCUCUUUCUGAAAUUUCCCACAGUGUAACCUCGAAAGGUAUUCUUAAGACCUUGAAUACUACCAAGCUUCUUAACAAAAUCAUCUCUUUGCCCAAUCCAAGCAUGGAAGAUCUCCUCCUCGCACCUUGGAUCCAAACACCACACCUCUUCAAACCUAAAAGGACGUUGUUGUCUUCUCAUAGGGACAUCCAUAAACUUCUCAAUGGAGACAGAAAUAACUGCAUGAUCUGAACCAUAUCUUCCCAAGUGCUGCACAGAACUAGCAGGAAAAAUCUGAGAAAAUACCUCAGUACAUAAAGCUCUGUCCAGCCUAGCCUGAAUAUUUGCAUCACCUGAUAUGCCAUUAGUCCACGUGAGAGGAUAGCCACUAAAGCCCAAAUCAACUAGCCCAAGAUCAUCCAUAACAUCCCUUCCCCUCUGCAACUGAGAAUCAGACCGCGAAAUACCACCUUUCUUCUCAUUGUUCGAGAUAACAUCAUUCAAGUCCCCAACCCCAAGCCACCUCAACCCCCCCCCCUCCUGAACUAGAGACCUGAUUAGAGACCAAGUCCUCUCCCUCAGCCUCGUACACGGGUAGCCAUAAAUCCCAGAAAAACACCAAGGGUCUUCAUCCUCAACUACAGAAACAGAGAUAUGAUUGUUUGAAAAAGAAAUGAGAGAAACAUUCAAAGAUUCAGACCACCACAAAGCUAGCCCCCAUUUUCUCCCCUUGCCAUUAUCAACACAAUCCACAACCAAAAAAUUCUUAAGACCAAAGUCCAACCUUAUUUUUUCAAUUUCAAACUUUUUCAACCUGGUUUCCAUCAAGAAAACCAAUUGAGGAAUCUCUUUUCUUACGAGCCUUUGCAAGGCCCUAACUUCCUGGGGACUCCCCAAACCCCGGCGGUUCCAGCUAAGGAGUUUCAUGGCUGUAGGCAAUGUUGGUCUCCCAACAUCGCCUCUAAAUGAGCAUCAGCCAUAUCCACAUCCAUCAUCAAUUUCUUGCUUAAGUGACCCCGAAAAGUCUCAUCAUCCACUUCCACAAUAUCCACAUCAAUCAGGCUUCUCUUCUUAUCUAAACAAGAGAGGACUUUGCAAUUGUCACAGCAGCCCUACUAGCAUCAAGUCUCUUCCAACCUCUCUCGGUAGUCACCUUCUUUUCACUAGAGCUCCCAACACAAAAAGAUAGCUCAGCCACAGGAGCACAAUUUUCCUUAACCUCAGAAUCUGAGCCCUGCUUUAGAACAACAUUACCAAGUGCCUCAAGCACAUCAUCCACUUGUUGGACCACCAUACCACACUCAACAGCAGAAUUUUCAGGGGAAACAUUUGUGAUAUCAGAUAGAACAUGACUAGACAUCCCACCCACAAGAAACUCCUUAGCAGGCCCAACAGAAACAACACUUGGGGCCUUAGCAUCAGCAGCAAGUUCACCUAUACUUCUUUCAGAAACAGGAACCACAGUAGAGUUCUCAAGAUCAGCAAAAGGAACUCUAUCAGCAGACACACCAGAAUUCUUAGUAUCUGAAGACACCUUAUCAACCAACAAGCACAAAUCAUUUUUCCUUUGAACAUCCUUAUGCCUGGUUACCACCUUGGAACCACCACAGCCAAACCUAACCACACCAACAUCAUCAGAACGACCCACGGAUCCCUCACCAGCCCUCCCCACACCAUCAAUAGCAGAACGAAAUAGGGACUCACAACCUUUAGACUUCAUAGGAUGAGCAACAUCCUCACCAAAAGGGGAAGCCCUCAACCAUGGCCCAAAAGGAAAGUCCACAGCAUCAUGAUCCUCCUCAACAUCCUCAAAUUCAUUACAAUCCUUGAUCUGAUGGCCUAUUCUUCCGCAAGCAAAGCAAAAAUUAGGAAGCCUCUCAUAUCUGAAAUAAACCUUAAGCUCCUUCCCUUGCCAAAACAACAUCGUACCCCUGAGAAGAGGCUUGGUAAGAUCAAUGGUAACCUUAAUCCUGAAGAAGAGGCCCAAACGGUUCUCAAGCUUACAAUCAACCUCCACAAAGCUACCAAUUGAAUCCCCCAACCUCCUGGCAACUGCUUCAGACUUCAAUUUCAGAGGGAGAUCAUAAACCCUCACCCACAUAUCCACAGAGGAGAGCUCAAUUUUAGAUGGCUGAUCUUCAUCACUGAAUUUCUUAAGCACCAAUAUACUACGAUCGAAACUCCAUGGACCCCCUUGGAUCACAGAUAUGAGAUCCUUUGAUGUAGCAAAUUGAAACAAGUACCGAUUCUUGGAGAUCUCAUUGAUUUCGACUGGAUGUCGCCACGCCGCCUUCAUAGUGUUCAUGAACGCCCUAACAUUGUGCGAACCUUCAGACCACAACUUCCCAGCCAGCAACCGAGAGGUAAGAUCAUCAUCUCUACACUCAUCCUCAUCGAUUGUAACACUGCUCUGGAUCUCAGAAGCAUUGAGAUCGAAAUUCCGAUGCAUCGUAGAACACAGGGAAACAAGGAGAAAACUACGAAGAGAGAAAAAACAGGAAAGAGACAGAGAAUCAAGGAGCGAACCAGAGAAUCAGAGAGCAAGAUGAAGAAGAAGAGCCUAGGGAGACCUAGGAGAAGACCACCAAGUCGGUGGAGAUCUUGACUCAUAGUUUGGUCUAGCCCUUACUGUAAUAUAAUUCUCUUUUAAUAUAGAGUUUGGGCUAGCUCUUUUAAUAUAAUUCUCUUUUUGGUUUUCCGAAAAAAAAAAGUGAAGGUAAAUUGGCCUCCAGAACCUUUAAGAUAAGCUUCUAUUCACUCCCAAUCAAACUGAUGGGCCUGAAGUCAAGCAUAGAUUGUGGAUAUUACGUUUCAGGAUUGCAGAGAUGAAAGGAGCAUUUAAAACCCUUACAAUUUUCCAAGACUCAUGGAAUUCAUGGAAGAAUUUGACCUCAUUAUUGAGAUUGAGAUUGAAUUUGUCCGGGCCGAAGCUUGAUUUCCAUCACGAUUUUUAUCACUCCCCAAAGUUUCAAAUUCUGAAAAGUUUGCUUCUAAACGAGCCUUAUCCCUGUGACUUAUCUUUGAAAGUUUGAGCAUCUGAGCUUGCAAUUGGGUCGCACCUUAUUUUCCCUUGAAAAAAAGGUUCUAAAUGAUUGAAAAUGGCCACCUCUGUUCAAAAAAAAGAAAAUGGCCACCUUAAUCGAUGUUGGAUCCUCAAUGUAUACCUCACCUACGUUCAAUUUCACUAUUCUUUUCUUUGCUUUCCUUCCUUCAACUAGCGUAUCCUAGCUUUUUGCCUCCACUUUUCAAAUCGUCACAACUCAACGACAUAAUUUAUCUGUCGCAACAUUCGGAACAGACUAUUACAUUUUUAUUUACGUCGUAUCAAAUAUUAUUAUUUCUGUAACCAACGGCGUCGCAAAAUUCAGGACGAAGCAUGAUAGUUUUAAUUCCGUCAUAACAAAAAAACAUUAUUUCUGUCAUCCAAUCGGUCGUAAAAAAAAUUUCUUCAAAAAUAUAAGUAUAUUCCGUCCCAAAAAAUUGAUUUCUUCCAUCGCACAUUAAUUAUUAAUUAAAUGAAUACUAUAAUUCAAUAUAUUAUGUCCUUAUUUCUGUCCCAAAAGCGCGACGAAGAAACAUUCUGUUCUAAAAACUUUGCGACGCACAAAAUCGCGAUGAAAUGUUUCAGUCGCACAUCCGUCCCAAAAUCAUUUAAGAAUAGAAAUUUUAACAAUCGUGUGACGAGGGCGGCGAUGUUCAACUUGAUUCCAGAGGAUUGGGGUGGUCACGUCACGCCUUGGGUCUCAGAGAUCAAACAGUACUUCAAUCGCCUCAAGAGUCUCCACUUUCGCCGAAUGAUUGUCACCAACUCCAGCAAGGAAACUCAUCCUUUUGGUACGAGAACUGGUUGGAAACUGGGGUCCUUUGUUCAUAAGUGCCUUUUGUGCACAUAAGUGACACAGCGUUGGCAGUUCGCGAUGUGUGAAAGACAAUGGCUGGAAGUUUGACUGUUUGUACACGGUGCUUCCAUCAGAGCUGAAGAAUAGGGUUCAAUCAACUGUAGGGCCAACGGGCGUGGAGCAUGUAGAUGCUUGGCGUUGGAAUGAGGAGCCUGAUGGUCAUUACACGUCCAGAUCCGCCUAUGCUUGGCUCAACCAUCGGGACAAUGAGGAGGGUGAACACCAGGUUUGGAUGCAACUGUUGAAAUUGAGGAUUCCGGGAAAAUGCAAAUUUAUGAUUUGGCUUGCGCUGCACCAAUCUUUGCCUGUGAAUGUGCACUGGCAUGCUUGCUCUCUUGCCACCAGCGCUGCGUGUGGUAGAUGCUCUACCCCAACGGAGGACAUUCUUCACUGUCUUCGUGAUUGUCCACACUCGAUGGAAGUUUGGACCAGGUUAGGCUAUGGAACCUUUGUGGGCUUCUUCUCACAAGACUCUUGGUCAUGGAUCCUGGCUAUUUUACGACAAGAAGAUACAGGGCGAAUUUUGUAUAUUUGAUGGUGGAUAUGGCGUUGGAGGAACAAUAUGGUGCUAGGGACAGAGAGAUGGGAAAUUGAAUAGGUGAUUUGCAAUGUGUGGCAGGACUCGAAAGACUCUAUGCUUGACACUGUCGUGGUGCACCAGUUCAGCACAAACAAAUCUUCUUGGGAGGCUCCUGAAAUAGGUUAGGUGAAGGUAAACGUUGAUGGUAGCCACCAUCGAGCAUCCUCUGGAAUAGCCUGCGGUGGUUUGAUUCAGGAUCACCAUGGAAAAUGGCUUCAAGGUUUUUCUGGUUUUGAAGGCCAGGGGGACGUGUACAUGGCAGAGCUUCUCGGAGUUCUCAGAGGCCUUCAGCUAGCGUGGCAUCAUGGUUACAGGAAGGUAGUUUGUGAAUCAGAUUCUUUGAGUGUGGUGCAAACCUUGUCGACAGGCAAAUCAGUAAACCUCCAUUCUUGUGCGGUGCUCUUGACAGAAAUUCAUUGUAUGCUUCUGGAGGAUUGGGAGGUGAUUUUCAAGCAUGUCUUGCGGGAUAAAAACAACGAAGCUGACACUCUAGAAAAGCUUGGCUUAGAGAAGAAGUGGAGGCUCACAACCUGGAAUUCCCCUCCCACUGAGCAUGUUCAGUUGGGAGGUCUAGUCUAAUUGUUUUUUCUUUUGUCUUUAUUUUCAUAAUCUACAAAAAAAAAAAACAUCAUAAUGUGAAUAUUUCCGCUCCUAUGAAUAAUGGAGUAUUAAUGGCACAAGUAACUUACUCGAAUUUUUGUAAUUUAGUUACUCUAAUAUGAAUGAUACAAAUGGUGGAUUUAUUUAUUUCCACUCUUCCCGCUUACCUCUAUAUCACUUUUGGUUCUUGCUUAAUGUUUCCACCGUUUCUACGGUAAACCUUUUAUGGAUUUAACAUUUGCUUUAUUGGUUAAUUUGUCCUUUUAAUGCAUUGAACAUUGGCUUUAUGGUUUGUAUCUGAAAGACUGAAACACAUUGAAAACCAAAAGGUUCCUUCUUUUGAAAUGGUUGCAUCUUUUAUAAAAGGAUAUCCAUGUUGAGUCGGAGAAGAUUUUGGAUUUUUCCAAUUAAGCAAGAUUUCAACAUGUAUAAAUUCUGAGUGUACAAUAUCUUGUAUGUGGCUAUGUUAUUGGAGAACAAACCUAACAUUAGAUUGCACUGGAGGUUUACCAUACUUUUACUUUCAAAAUAGUGAUUCGUCCACGGCGCAACUUUCCUCUUAUCUUCCAACAGAUGACACAUGUAAGAAUUGAAAUAGAACGCAAUUGUUUUUUCAAUCAAUUUUUUUUAUUGUUAUAGUUUUAAUAGAGCACAUGAAUAAAUUUAAAAUUUGACGAUUUAAUAAUAUCUAAUUAAUAUAUGUAAAUUCUGUGGCAUAGGUUAAUUUACUAGUUUUUAAAUAUAAGAAAGUAAUACACAAUUACAAGUGGCAUAGAUUUAAGAAAGUUCCAAUACCAUUUGAGGAGUUAAAUAAUUACGUUGAUGAAAAAAACAUAUACAAACUUAUUGUAGAUGGAUGGUUAGGCACUUGAUAAUCUCCUCUGGUUAGUUUUGUUCAAAAUAUAAGCAUUCUAACAAUAGCCAACGGGAAUGAGUUUCACAAGGAAAACGGGAAGAUGUAAGAGGAAGUACGCAUUCCAAGGAGCACCAGGAAAGGGAAGUGAGAGAUGAUAGCGGAGAGUUUGAGUGGUCAAGAGAUAGCAAUCCAAAUAUAUAUAAUAUGGUAAGAGGAUACGGAUGGUGUAAUGCUCUCUUCACACUAUAAAAUAGCAAAACGUCAUUGCUAGAAACAAAAGUACAAAUUUAAGGAGAAAAAGAAGAAGAUUAAGGAAAUGGACAUGGUACAAUUUUUGCUUUUGCUAUGCCUCUUAGUGGGGAUAACCUCAACGGUGCAUGGUGAAGACCCUUACUUCUAUUUCACAUGGAAAGUCACAUAUGGCACACUUUCCCCGGCGGGUGUCCCUCAACAGGUUAUUCUUAUCAAUGGUGAAUUUCCUGGACCCAACAUCAACUCGACCAGUAAUAACAACCUUGUUGUAAACGUCUUCAACCAACUUGAUGAGCCUCUCCUUUUCACAUGGUCUAGUACUUUCUCUAUUUUAUUAUGAACAAUUAAGAUUAAGAGUACCAAAACGGAAAAAUAUCACAUAAGCAUAUGAAUAACUUUGCUUUGCAGGGCGGGAGUCCAACAAAGGAAAAACUCAUGGCAAGAUGGGGUACCUGGAACUAACUGUCCCAUUGCUCCAGGAACAAACUGGACCUACAAGUUCCAGGUGAAGGACCAAAUAGGAAGCUACUUCUACUACCCAAGCUUGGGCUUGCAUAGGGCAGCUGGUGGAUUCGGUGGCCUACGCAUAAACAGUAGGUUACUUAUCCCUGUCCCCUAUGCAGAUCCUGAAGACGAUUACACUGUCCUCGUUGGCGACUGGUACACCAAGAGCCACUCUGCUCUCAAGAAAUUACUUGACAGCGGUCGCGCUCUUGGCAGGCCCCAAGCUGUUCUCAUCAACGGCCAAAAUGCCAAAGGAGACGGAACCGACAAGCCACUAUUCACAAUGAAGCCAGGAAAAACCUACAAAUAUAGAAUCUGCAAUGUGGGUCUGAAAAACUCCAUCAACUUCAGGGUCCAGCAACACUCCAUGUUACUCGUUGAAUUGGAAGGUUCCCACACCGUGCAAAACAGUUACGACUCACUUGACGUCCACGUCGGGCAGUGCUUUGGUGUCCUCAUAACUGCUGAUAAGGAACCGAAGGACUACUACAUGGUUGCCUCGACCAGGUUCACGAAAACUGUUUUGACCGGCAAAGGGAUCAUCCGCUAUACCAAUGGAAAGGGACCAGCUUCACCUGAACUCCCUGAGGCCCCUGUGGGCUGGGCCUGGUCUCUGAACCAGUACCGUUCCUUCCGUUGGAACCUCACUGCCAGCGCUGCCAGGCCUAACCCCCAGGGCUCUUACCAUUACGGCCAGAUAAACAUCACCCGCACUGUUAAGCUAAUUAACUCUGUCAGCAGGGACAAUGGGAAGCUCCGUUACGCGCUUAACGGAGUCUCCCACGUUGACCCAGAAACACCCAUCAAGCUCGCUGAGUAUUAUGGGAUUGGUGAGAAAUUUUUCAAGUACGACACCAUUCCAGAUAGCCCGCAAGGCCUUUCAAAUGCUGUCACCUUGCAAACCAAUGUUCUUAACUUCACCCAUCGCACCUUCAUCGAGAUCAUCUUCGAGAACCACGAAAAAAGUGUCCAGUCGUAUAAUUUGGCCGGCUACUCAUUCUUCUAUGUCGCG
This 42360-nucleotide long non-coding RNA is filed under the name Lotus japonicus. RNAcentral's name for it is "long non-coding RNA (LJAP_LNC001783)". Lineage: Eukaryota; Viridiplantae; Streptophyta; Magnoliopsida; Fabales; Fabaceae. The record is from RNAcentral.